This 467-nucleotide ribosomal RNA is filed under the name uncultured bacterium. RNAcentral describes it as "partial 16S ribosomal RNA". It matches the Rfam family "Bacterial small subunit ribosomal RNA", at positions 28 to 507 of the family's 1533-position model. The record is from RNAcentral.
GAUGAACGCUGACAAAAUGCUUAACACAUGCAAGUCAACUUGAAUUUGGGUUUUUAACUUAGGUUUGGGUGGCGGACGGGUGAGUAACGCGUAAAGAACUUGCCUCACAGCUAGGGACAACAUUUGGAAACGAAUGCUAAUACCUAAUAUUAUGAUAAUAGGGCAUCCUAUAAUUAUGAAAGCUAUAAGCGCUGUGAGAGAGCUUUGCGUCCCAUUAGCUAGUUGGAGAGGUAACGGCUCACCAAGGCGAUGAUGGGUAGCCGGCCUGAGAGGGUGAUCGGCCACAAGGGGACUGAGACACGGCCCUUACUCCUACGGGAGGCAGCAGUGGGGAAUAUUGGACAAUGGACCGAGAGUCUGAUCCAGCAAUUCUGUGUGCACGAUGAAGUUUUUCGGAAUGUAAAGUGCUUUCAGUUGGGAAGAAACAAAUGACGGUACCAACAGAAGAAGUGACGGCUAAAUACGUG